RNAcentral lists this ribosomal RNA (254 nucleotides) under uncultured bacterium. RNAcentral describes it as "partial 16S ribosomal RNA". It matches the Rfam family "Bacterial small subunit ribosomal RNA", at positions 524 to 776 of the family's 1533-position model. The record is from RNAcentral.
UACGGAGGGUGCGAGCGUUGUCCGGAAUCACUGGGCGUAAAGGGCGCGUAGGUGGCCUGUGGAAGUCUGCGGUGAAAGCCCGGCGCUCAACGCCGGGUCGGCCGUGGAUACUCUCGGGCUUGAGCGUACUAGAGGCAGAUGGAAUUCCGGGUGUAGCGGUGGAAUGCGUAGAGAUCCGGAAGAACACCGGUGGCGAAGGCGGUCUGCUGGGGUAAUGCUGACACUGAUGCGCGACAGCGUGGGGAGCAAACAGG